RNAcentral lists this signal recognition particle RNA (109 nucleotides) under Campylobacter sp. RM16187. RNAcentral's name for it is "bacterial signal recognition particle RNA (4.5S RNA)". The stretch from base 6 to 103 matches the Rfam family "Bacterial small signal recognition particle RNA". From Rfam's summary of the family: The signal recognition particle (SRP) is a universally conserved ribonucleoprotein involved in the co-translational targeting of proteins to membranes. Archaeal SRP consists of a 7S RNA and homologues of the eukaryotic SRP19 and SRP54 proteins. In most bacteria, the SRP consists of a 4.5S RNA and the Ffh protein (a homologue of the eukaryotic SRP54 protein). Lineage: Bacteria; Pseudomonadati; Campylobacterota; Epsilonproteobacteria; Campylobacterales; Campylobacteraceae. The record is from RNAcentral.
GCCUCUUCUUAGACCUGUGCAAUGCCUCUUUCAGGCACCGCUUCAGGGUGGGAACACAGCAGAGCACUUGAAUUUGGUGUGUGCCGCAGUCAUCUGAGAAGGGGUUUUU